GGGGUUAGCGAAUGAUGAUUCAAUUCUUGAACUCUCUCCCUGAGAUCUUGAUGACGAUAAGAAUACUGAUCUCUCC
Small nucleolar RNA from Hucho hucho (huchen), 76 nucleotides. Its record names the gene SNORD81. It matches the Rfam family "Small nucleolar RNA SNORD81". From Rfam's summary of the family: U81 is a member of the C/D class of snoRNA which contain the C (UGAUGA) and D (CUGA) box motifs. Lineage: Eukaryota; Metazoa; Chordata; Actinopteri; Salmoniformes; Salmonidae. The record is from Ensembl.